This 17-nucleotide non-coding RNA is filed under the name Sclerotinia sclerotiorum. Lineage: Eukaryota; Fungi; Ascomycota; Leotiomycetes; Helotiales; Sclerotiniaceae. RNAcentral also lists the same sequence under 1 other name. The record is from RNAcentral.
GAGUCGAUGAUCGGUAU